AUGUGUGAAUGCAUCACCAUCCAUGUUGGCUAGGCUGUUCUCCAGACUGGCAAUGCCUUCUGGGAGCUCCAUUGCCUGGAACAUGGCAUCCAGCCCAAUAGCCAGAUGUCAAGUGACAAGACCAUUAGGGGAGGAGAUGACUCCUUCAACACUUUCUUCAGUGAUGCGGUUGCUGGCAAGCACGUGCCCAGGGCAGUGUUUGUAGACCUGGGCCCACAGUCAUUGAUGAAGUUCACACUGGCAACUACCGCCAGGUUUUCCAAUCUGAGCAGCUCAUCACAGGCAAGGAAGAUGCUGCCAAUAAUUAUGCCCAAUGGCACUGCACCAUUGGCAAGGAGAUCAUUGACUUUGUCUUAGACUGAAUUUAGUAACUGGCCAACCAGUGCAGAGGUCUUCACAACUUCUUGGUUUUCCACAACUUUGGAGGGAGAACUGGUUCUGGUUUUACUUCCCUGCUGAUGGAACAUCUCUGUCAAUUACAGCAAGAAGUCCAAGCUGGAAUUCUCCAUUUACCCAACCCCCCAGGUUUCUACAGCUGUAGUUAAGCCCUACAACUCCAUCCUCACCACUCACACCACCCUGGAGCACUCUGACUCUGCCUUCAUGGUAGAAAACAUGGCCAUAUAUGACAUCUGUCAUGGAAACCUUGACAUUGAAUGCCCAACCUACACUAACCUAAAUAGGUUGAUAUGUCAAAUUGUGUUCUCCAUCACUGCUUCCCUCAGAUCUUAUGGAGCCCUGAAUGUUGAUCUGACAGAAUUCCAGGCCAACCUGGUGCCCUAUUCCCAAAUCCACUUCCCUCUGGCCAUAUAUGGCUCUGUCAUAUCUGUUGAGAAAGCCUACCAUGAAUAGCUUUCUGUAGCAGAGAUCACCAAUGUGUGCUUUGAGCCAGCCAACCAGAGGGUGAAAUAUGACCCUUACCAUGGUAAAUGCAUGGCUUACUGCCUGUUGUACCAUGGUGAUGUGUUUCCCAAAGAUGUCAAUGCUGCCAUUGAUCUGAUCAAGACCAAGUGUACCAUCUAGUUUGUGGACUGGUGCCCCACUGACUUCAAUGUUGGCAUUAAUUACCAGCCUCCCACUGUGGAGAGGGAGACCUAGCCAAAGUACAGAGAGCUAUGUUAAUGCUGAGCAACACCACAACCAUCGCUGAGGCCUAGGCUCACCUGGACCACAAAUUUGACUUGAUGUAUGCCAAGUCUGCCUUUGGUCACUGGUAUGCAAGUGAAGGCAUGGAGGACAAAGAAUUUUCUGAGGCCCGUGAGGACAUGGCUGCUCUUGAGAAGGAUUAUGAGGAAAUUGGUGUGGAUUUUGUUGAAGGAGAAAGUGAAGAAGAAGGAGAGGAAUACUAAAGUUAAAAAUGUCACAAAGGUGCUGCUUUUACGGGGAAGCUUAUUCUGUUUUGAACAUUGAAAAGUUGUGCUUUGAUCAGUUAAUUUGUAUGUAGCAGUGUAUACUCUCAUAUACAUUUACUGACCUAUGCUUAAAAACACAAUGCUUUGUUACAGACCCAAGCUGUCCAUUUCUCUGAUGGGUUUGAAUAAAGUAUUCCCUGUCUUAAAAAAA
This is an RNA transcript of Zalophus californianus (California sea lion), 1563 nucleotides long. It is a transcript of the gene named tubulin alpha-1A chain-like, with no coding region annotated. The transcript has a single exon. The record is from RefSeq and is a predicted model, not a curated record. NCBI's taxonomy places the organism in Eukaryota, Metazoa, Chordata, Mammalia, Carnivora, Otariidae.